RNAcentral lists this ribosomal RNA (451 nucleotides) under uncultured bacterium. Its description in RNAcentral is "partial 16S ribosomal RNA". It matches the Rfam family "Bacterial small subunit ribosomal RNA", at positions 29 to 523 of the family's 1533-position model. The record is from RNAcentral.
AACGAACGCUGGCGGCAGGCCUAAAACAUGCAAGUCGAACGGGUGUAGCAAUACAUCAGUGGCGCACGGGUGAGUAACGCGUGGGAACGUGCCCUUCAGUACGGGACAACGUCGGGAAACUGACGCUAAUACCGUAUAAUAUCUCCGGAUCAAAGAUUUAUCGCUGAGGGAGCGGCCCGCGUCUGAUUAGCUAGUUGGUGAGGUAAUGGCUCACCAAGGCUACGAUCAGUAGCAGGUCAGAGAGGAUGAUCUGCCACACUGGGACUGAGACACGGCCCAGACUCCUACGGGAGGCAGCAGUUAGGAAUAUUGGACAAUGGGGGAAACCCUGAUCCAGCCAUGCCGCGUGUGUGAUGAAGGCCCUAGGGUUGUAAAGCACUUUCGUUGGGGAUGAUAAUGACCGUACCCAAAGAAGAAGCCACGGCUAAAUUCGUGCCAGCCGCCGCCGUAA